UGAUAAUUCACAAUUGCAGUGCAUAUCAUUCGCGACAACUUUGUCGCCUGCACUGCAAUACCAGCUGAUCUUGCAAAAGCUUACAUUGCGAGAGCAAGCCUUUGCAAGAACCUUCAAAGCUUGGGACACAGCUGGUAAAUUGCACCCAUCUUCGCUUCUUACAUUCCAAGAAGAGAGAGAGAGCAACUGGAAUGUGGGCCUAUAAAAAGAGCCACAUGGGUCAAAUCGUUCUUUUUCCGGCAUCACGAGAUCAUCAAGUCAAAAUUUGGUUGUGCUGAAAAUUUAAAAUGGACUUUUGUCCAUUUUUCUCAUAUUAGAUACCCUAACUUCACGCCAGCAAGGGUCACCUUGAAGAGCGGAGGUUAGGGUACGAAAAGCCGGCAGAGCAGCAUAACGCCUAAGCGACGGGGGAGAUGAAGGGCAGCAUCAAAAGAAAAAAACCGAAAAAAAAACCAACAAAAUAAAAGAAACUUUACUGCGUGAAAAAAACAACCAUAUGAAUUUCUGAAAACGUGAAAAAAUAUAACUAAUGAAAUAGAAAUUUGAAAAUAGAUUAGUAUUUGCAUAUAGAAAAAAAAAAAAAAAAAACUGCGAAAUAUAAAGAAAAGAACCCAAAAUAAAAAAAAGAGUUUGUGCAAGACAUUUAAAUUGCCGACGGCAAGUGAGAAGUUAUUUUUUUUUGUCGAGAGAAAAGUUAAAGAAAACAGAAAAAUUAGUGGUUUAAAAGCUCAAUCAUAAAAUCUAUAAUUACUAUAUAUAUAUAAUGAACACACAAAAACGAAACCAAUAAAUAAAUAUAUAUCAAUAAAUAUAUAUCAAUAAAUAAAUAAAAAUGAAUAAAUAAGAAACAUAAAGCAAAGUACAGCACAUCAAAGAAAAAAAUGAAUCCACACACCCUAUAAAGAAAACUUGAAGAGAAAAAAAAAUUUUUGUUAAAAAUAACUAACAAAAAUAACGCCAGAAAAAAAAAAGUUUAAGAUUGUGUUGUUCCUCCCCUCCCGCCAAUAUACCCCAUUUCUACACUUAACAGCUGACACCACCACGCAGAAAGGCCGCACGCAGAAAGAAGAAAAGAGAAAUAAUGAUUUAGAUAAAUAAAAACAGCAGAAAAAUAGUAAACGUAUAAUUGUAAGUGAAGUAAAAAUUAUUAUUUGAAUGAAAAAAAAUAACAGUAGCAAUGAGAAAGUUUAUAUAUAGGUCUUGAAUAUUAGUUGUAAGAACUUUGUUUUUUUUUUUUGAGUCUGCGUACUCAACAAUAAAAAAAAUGAAUUCAACAAGUUA
Molecule: long non-coding RNA, 1281 nt
Organism: Drosophila mojavensis
Lineage: Eukaryota; Metazoa; Arthropoda; Insecta; Diptera; Drosophilidae
Exons: 2
Source: RefSeq, a predicted model, not a curated record